RNAcentral lists this ribosomal RNA (468 nucleotides) under uncultured bacterium. RNAcentral's name for it is "partial 16S ribosomal RNA". It matches the Rfam family "Bacterial small subunit ribosomal RNA", at positions 28 to 507 of the family's 1533-position model. The record is from RNAcentral.
GACGAACGCUGGCGGCGUGCUUAACACAUGCAAGUCGAACGGAAAGGCCCUGCUUUUGUGGUUUGCUCGAGUGGCGAACGGGUGAGUAACACGUGAGUAACCUGCCCUUGACUUUGGGAUAACUUCAGGAAACUGGGGCUAAUACCGGAUAGGAGCUCCUGCUGCAUGGUGUGGGUUGGAAAGUUUCGGCGGUUGGGGAUGGACUCGCGGCUUAUCAGCUUGUUGGUGUGGUAGUGGCUUACCAAGGCUUUGACGGGUAGCCGGCCUGAGAGGGUGACCGGCCACAUUGGGACUGAGAUACGGCCCAGAAUCCUACGGGAGGCAGCAGUGGGGAAUAUGGCACAAUGGGCGGAAGCCUGAUGCAGCAACGCCGCGUGCGGGAUGACGGCCUUCGGGUUGUAAACCGCUUUCGCCUGUGACGAAGCGUGAGUGACGGUAAUGGGUAAAGAAGCACCGGCUAACUACGUG